RNAcentral lists this ribosomal RNA (497 nucleotides) under uncultured bacterium. RNAcentral's name for it is "partial 16S ribosomal RNA". It matches the Rfam family "Bacterial small subunit ribosomal RNA", at positions 28 to 507 of the family's 1533-position model. The record is from RNAcentral.
GACGAACGCUGACGGCGUGCCUAAUACAUGCAAGUUGAGCGCUGAAGGUUGGUACUUGUACCGACUGGAUGAGCAGCGAACGGGUGAGUAACGCGUGGGGAAUCUGCCUUUGAGCGGGGGACAACAUUUGGAAACGAAUGCUAAUACCGCAUAAAAACUUUAAACACAAGUUUUAAGUUUGAAAGAUGCAAUUGCAUCACUCAAAGAUGAUCCCGCGUUGUAUUAGCUAGUUGGUGAGGUAAAGGCUCACCAAGGCGAUGAUACAUAGCCGACCUGAGAGGGUGAUCGGCCACAUUGGGACUGAGACACGGCCCAAACUCCUACGGGAGGCAGCAGUAGGGAAUCUUCGGCAAUGGACGAAAGUCUGACCGAGCAACGCCGCGUGAGUGAAGAAGGUUUUCGGAUCGUAAAACUCUGUUGGUAGAGAAGAACGUUGGCGAGAGUGGAAAGCUCAUCAAGUGACGGUAACUACCCAGAAAGGGACGGCUAACUACGUG